Molecule: ribosomal RNA, 432 nt
Filed under: uncultured bacterium
Lineage: Bacteria
Description: partial 16S ribosomal RNA
Rfam family: Bacterial small subunit ribosomal RNA
Source: RNAcentral
CCUACGGGAGGCAGCAGUGGGGAAUUGUUCGCAAUGGGCGCAAGCCUGACGACGCAACGCCGCGUGGAGGAUGAAGGUCUUCGGAUUGUAAACUCCUGUUGCCCGGGACGCGGUACCGGGUGAGGAAGCCCCGGCUAACUCUGUGCCAGCAGCCGCGGUAAUACAGAGGGGGCAAGCGUUGUUCGGAAUUACUGGGCGUAAAGGGCGCGUAGGCGGCCUGCUAAGUCGAACGUGAAAUCCCUGGGCUCAACCCAGGAACUGCGUCCGAUACUGGUUGGCUUGAAUCCGGGAGAGGGAUGCGGAAUUCCAGGUGUAGCGGUGAAAUGCGUAGAUAUCUGGAGGAACACCGGUGGCGAAGGCGGCAUCCUGGACCGGAUUGACGCUGAGGCGCGAAAGCCAGGGGAGCAAACGGGAUUAGAUACCCUAGUAGUC